UCCCUCUUUUAAUAUUCAAAUAGUACCGCCUCCCCCCAUUUUCUCCCCCAUAAUCUCCACUGCCUAUCUCAUUUACAUAAUAUUAACCUCCAAUGUUUACCUCUAUUUAAUACUACUUCUUUUCAUUAUAUUUCAGCAUGGGAUGCACAAGACUAUACCGUCAUAUAUAUGCAAAGGAAUGCAAAAGUGCAGAGUUUUGUUCUAUCAACACCCAAUUCGAAUUCAUUCAUUGGGAUUGAAUUUUCAGGAAAGCGUGGAGUAUUUUUCGGGCAGGCACUCGCUGGUGGAGGUGGUGUCUCAUACAAGAAGAUUUUCAAUUGAACACUGAAAAGAUGAAUAAACGGCUAAUUUACUGUGUAACUUCGAUUAAAAUUUGAAUUUUUUUUUUUAGAUCAUGAUAUCCAAAAUUGCACUAACAUCAUUUAUUCUUUUCUUUUCACACAGGUACAUGAAGGUGGAAACUAAUUCAAGA
This is a long non-coding RNA of Lycium ferocissimum, 472 nucleotides long. RefSeq lists it as uncharacterized. NCBI's taxonomy places the organism in Eukaryota, Viridiplantae, Streptophyta, Magnoliopsida, Solanales, Solanaceae. The transcript is spliced from 2 exons. The record is from RefSeq and is a predicted model, not a curated record.